This 292-nucleotide ribosomal RNA is filed under the name uncultured prokaryote. RNAcentral describes it as "partial 16S ribosomal RNA". It matches the Rfam family "Bacterial small subunit ribosomal RNA", at positions 505 to 796 of the family's 1533-position model. The record is from RNAcentral.
GUGCCAGCAGCCGCGGUAAUACGUAGGUGGCGAGCGUUAUCCGGAAUUAUUGGGCGUAAAGAGCGCGCAGGUGGUUGAUUAAGUCUGAUGUGAAAGCCCACGGCUUAACCGUGGAGGGUCAUUGGAAACUGGUCGACUUGAGUGCAGAAGAGGGAAGUGGAAUUCCAUGCGUAGCGGUGAAAUGCGUAGAGAUAUGGAGGAACACCAGUGGCGAAGGCGGCUUCCUGGUCUGUAACUGACACUGAGGCGCGAAAGCGUGGGGAGCAAACAGGAUUAGAUACCCCGGUAGUCC